UUCCUGAACUCACAGAUAUCUUCAGAUAUAUGUAUGUAUUGUCUCACAGACUUUGAUAUGAAAAGUAUAACAUAUAAAAGUAUGCUGAAGAAUUUGACUUCUCCAUGUAUUACACUUGAAUAAGGCUUUACAAACAGGAUAAAACCCUAUCUUAUUUUUAAAAAAAUAGCAUUUUUUCUCACCUUUUGAAAUAUCCUCUUCAUGGACAGUUGAUGAGUAGUACCUUUUUGGCUAAGAUUUCUUAUAACUCUGUAUCACUCUGGUGGUAACCUCUCUCUGGUGACAUAGAGCUAAUUUGUGACUUCUGAUGUGAUGAAGAAAAAUAUAAGAAUCUCCAGCUAAACAGUGGGAAUAAAUAAUAACCAAUUUUUUUGGACAAUUUCCAUCCCAAAAAUGUGACUACCGCAGAGUAUGGGACUGAUUAAUAUUUGAUGGUGAAAUGAAAGUUGAAAAAUCCCCAACACCACAAAAGCAGGUAAUGAUGAUGUAGCCUGCCCAAUUUACACGCCUUUCAGGGCUUUUCCCUUGUCUGUUUAGGCAAUGAAAACUUUGCAGACCAUAACAUAAAGAUUUGUAACCUUUUCUGAUUUAUACUGCAUGCUAUAACAUACUUCACUCCUUAUUCAACAUAGCAUUCAUUUUUAAAAUUUUGUGGAGUCGUUUCCUCAACAGUUUAUACCAGCAAAUUUCACAGCUCGCUCAUUACAAAUGGAAGCAAAGAAGAAAUCCUUUUUUGGGGAAGAUAAUUAGUACUUCCAACAUUCUGAUUUAUUAAAUACUAGUAGCAUUAUAUAUUCUUUAAGUGAGGGGGCUGUACAGGAUAGUUUCCAAUUUACCAAUCAUGACGGAAACAUAGAGUCUCAUCAGUGCAAGGGGCCUUGAGUUGUUUGAUUUAUUUCUCUGUCCAAAGGAAGAAGCAGCUGUACCGAGGUAAUUUCUGAUGAAUAUUUGUGCAAAGUGUACUUAAAGACCUCCAGUAAUGGAGACUCCAUAAUCUUCCCAGGCACUCUAUUUUGAUGCUUCAUUAUCCUCCUAGAAAUUUUUCCUGCUGUCUGCCCUGAACCUUCAAUUUGACAAUCAGCUUAAACUUCUACCUGCAGGGCAUGAUCUAAUCACUUUUUUCAUUAUAAAGUUUCAGUUAACUCACCUGCAGCCACGUAAUUGCUCUUGCUGACCUAAGGGAGGUGGUGGAAUCCUGUGCAUGGGAAAAGGAAAAGGGUGCAACUGCAAUUCACAUUUUCAGACUAUUGUUUCCUCCCCCAUCCAGCACAGAUAUCAAGAACAGCCCAUGAAGUUAUCAGUGCCUGUGACUACAGCCAACAGUGUGACAUUUGGAGCACAGGUGUCAUUAUGUACAUGCUAAGGCUUGGAAGAAAAGCUUUUAAAAUAAUAAGAAGGGAAGACCUCUGCUUUGAAAAAUUUGGUCUGGGAAAUAGUUACCAAGACUGAAAUGAUGUUGCUCAUUCGGGUCUGGUGAAAAGGAUGUGGGAGUACCUCAGUGGAGAAAGACAUGGUCAUGAAAACUCAAGGCUGGAGAAAUUUCUCUGUGUCGGACUGCAGAGUUACACUCCCCACAGCCUGAAGGAAUGAACUUCCAGGAGGAAAAAUGGCCCACAUCAGAACAGAGCCUUGUCAAGCCCCUCCGCCAACAGGCACUCCACACUUCAUCAGGCAGUUUUUCUCAGAGAUUCUGAGAAAAUUCUCAGGGAUUCUGAGAAGAUUCAAACAGAACUUUGCUGUCUCUUAACACCUCUAGCUGCAGCUCUUUUCAUCAAGGCUACAAAAUGAAGAUCUGUGUAUUGCUGUUGAAAUAUCCCACUGGGAAAAGGCAGCAUAAUUUCUGGCCACCGUGUAAAUCCCACACUGAAGACUCACUUGGGAAGAAGAACAGACACAAAAUGUUGUGCUGGCUUUCUAA
Molecule: long non-coding RNA, 1918 nt
Organism: Melozone crissalis (California towhee)
Lineage: Eukaryota; Metazoa; Chordata; Aves; Passeriformes; Passerellidae
Exons: 8
Source: RefSeq, a predicted model, not a curated record